Molecule: unclassified non-coding RNA, 395 nt
Filed under: soil metagenome
Description: partial contains 5.8S ribosomal RNA, internal transcribed spacer 2, and large subunit ribosomal RNA
Rfam family: 5.8S ribosomal RNA (bases 1-120)
Source: RNAcentral
GAUGAAGAACGUAGCGAAAUGCGAUAAGUAAUGUGAAUUGCAGAAUUCAGUGAAUCAUCGAAUCUUUGAACGCACCUUGCGCUCCUUGGUAUUCCGAGGAGCAUGCCUGUUUGAGUGUCAUUAAAUUCUCAAUCAUUAUCAACUUUUGCUGAUAAUGGCUUGGAUGUGGGGGUCUAUUUUGCUGGCUUCUCAGAUAGUCAGCUCCCCUUAAAUGCAUUAGCCGGUGCCCCGCGUGGACUGUCUAUUGGUGUGAUAAUUAUCUACGCUAUAGACAUCUGCAAUCAUAUGGGUUUGCGCUGCUUCUAACAGUCUGUUGAUUCAGACAAUACAUGACAAUUUGACCUCAAAUCAGGUAGGACUACCCGCUGAACUUAAGCAUAUCAAUAAGCGGAGGA